This 81-nucleotide transfer RNA is filed under the name Zancudomyces culisetae. It matches the Rfam family "tRNA". From Rfam's summary of the family: Transfer RNA (tRNA) molecules are approximately 80 nucleotides in length. Lineage: Eukaryota; Fungi; Kickxellomycota; Harpellomycetes; Harpellales; Legeriomycetaceae. The record is from Rfam by way of RNAcentral.
GUCGGUGUGUCCGAGUGGUUAAGGAGACAGACUAGAAAUCUGUUGGGCUCUGCCCGCACAGGUUCAAAUCUGUCGCCGACG